RNAcentral lists this ribosomal RNA (413 nucleotides) under uncultured microorganism. RNAcentral's name for it is "bacterial SSU rRNA". It matches the Rfam family "Archaeal small subunit ribosomal RNA", at positions 330 to 745 of the family's 1478-position model. The record is from RNAcentral.
GUGCAGCAGUCGCGAAACUUCACAAUGUGCGAAAGCACGAUGAGGGAAUCCCAAGUGCUUGCACGUAAGUGUAAGCUGUUUCUCUGUCUAAAACGCAGAGGGAGUAAGGGCUGGGUAAGACGGGUGCCAGCCGCCGCGGUGAUACCUGCAGCUCGAGUGGUGACCGUUAUUAUUGGGCCUAAAACGUCCGUAGCCGGUUUAAUAAAUGCCUGGGUAAAUCGGACCGCUUAACGGUUCGAAUUCCGGGUAGACUGUUAAACUUGAGACCGGGAGAAGUUAGAGGUACUCCUGGGGUAGAGGUGAAAUUCUGUAAUCCUAGGGGGACCACCAGUGGCGAAGGCGUCUAACUAGAACGGGUCUGACGGUGAGGGACGAAGCCCUGGGGCGCAAACGGGAUUAGAUACCCCUGUAGU